UGAGGAAUAUUGGACAAUGGAGGCAACUCUGAUCCAGCCAUGCCGCGUGAAGGAUGACUGCCCUAUGGGUUGUAAACUUCUUUUAUACAGGAAGAAACAGUUUCUUGCGAGAGGCCUUGACGGUACUGUAUGAAUAAGCACCGGCUAACUCCGUGCCAGCAGCCGCGGUAAUACGGAGGGUGCAAGCGUUAUCCGGAAUCAUUGGGUUUAAAGGGUCCGUAGGCGGGCUGAUAAGUCAGAGGUGAAAUCCCAUAGCUUAACUAUGGAACUGCCUUUGAUACUGUUAGUCUUGAGUUACUUGGAAGUAGAUAGAAUGUGUAGUGUAGCGGUGAAAUGCAUAGAUAUUACACAGAAUACCGAUUGCGAAGGCAGUCUACUACGAGUAUACUGACGCUGAUGGACGAAAGCGUGGGGAGCGAACAGG
Molecule: ribosomal RNA, 424 nt
Filed under: uncultured bacterium
Lineage: Bacteria
Description: bacterial SSU rRNA
Rfam family: Bacterial small subunit ribosomal RNA
Source: RNAcentral